GGAGACCACAUUAAGGUGCCUGGUCUCAACCAACCCCACUACCUGGAGACGUCAACUGGUCUGGUUGGCGUAUGCCCGGAACACCCUUCCCAGUUCUGCCAUGGGACUCACCCCAUGGAGCACUUGAAAGGGGAAUCAGCCUCCACUCUUCCCGGAACAAGAGCAGGAGGUCAGCGUACCCUCGGCCCAAAUGUUUGUCCGAAUAGCCAGGGCAGCUAUUUAAGACCAACUCCAGGUAUCGUCAACAAGUGGACCGUCGCCGGACUCCAGCUCCCUGCUACCGCAGAGGGCCCAUCUCUCCCCCCAGGUUAUUGGUGGCCAGCCAGCGUAUACGUCCUCCCGGUUUUGACCCUUGCCUGUUUCUGGACUCUGUACCU
RNAcentral lists this long non-coding RNA (377 nucleotides) under Salmo salar (Atlantic salmon). RNAcentral's name for it is "lncRNA (ENSSSAG00000106697.1, ENSSSAG00020058981.1)". Lineage: Eukaryota; Metazoa; Chordata; Actinopteri; Salmoniformes; Salmonidae. The record is from RNAcentral.